RNAcentral lists this ribosomal RNA (771 nucleotides) under Rhipicephalus microplus (southern cattle tick). Its description in RNAcentral is "SSU rRNA". It matches the Rfam family "Eukaryotic small subunit ribosomal RNA", at positions 1018 to 1807 of the family's 1831-position model. Lineage: Eukaryota; Metazoa; Arthropoda; Arachnida; Ixodida; Ixodidae. The record is from RNAcentral.
CCCUAGUUCUAACCAUAAACGAUGCCAACCAGCGAUCCGCCUGAGUUACUCAAAUGACUCGGCGGGCAGCUUCCGGGAAACCAAAGUAUUUGGGUUCCGGGGGAAGUAUGGUUGCAAAGCUGAAACUUAAAGGAAUUGACGGAAGGGCACCACCAGGAGUGGAGCCUGCGGCUUAAUUUGACUCAACACGGGAAAACUUACCCGGCCCGGACACUGGGAGGAUUGACAGAUUGAGAGCUCUUUCUUGAUUCGGUGGAUGGUGGUGCAUGGCCGUUCUUAGUUGGUGGAGCGAUUUGUCUGGUUAAUUCCGAUAACGAACGAGACUCUAGCCUAUUAAAUAGGUGCGGGGUUCCCAGCACCUUACAACCUUCUUAGAGGGACAAGCGGCUCCUAGCCGCACGAAACAGAGCAAUAACAGGUCUGUGAUGCCCUUAGAUGUCCGGGGCCGCACGCGCGCUACACUGAAGGAAGCAGCGUGUCUUUAUCCCUGUCUGAAAAGACUGGGUAACCCGUGGAACUUCUUUCGUGAUUGGGAUAGGGGCUUGCAAUUGUUCCCCUUGAACGAGGAAUUCCCAGUAAGCGCGAGUCAUAAGCUCGCGUUGAUUACGUCCCUGCCCUUUGUACACACCGCCCGUCGCUACUACCGAUUGAAUGAUUUAGUGAGGUCUUCGGACCGAUGUCCGGCGCGGCCUUUCGGUUGCGCCGGUCUGUUGGAAAGAUGACCAAACUUGAUCAUUUAGAGGAAGUAAAAGUCGUAACAAGGUUUCCGUA